CUUAGGACUAGUGAAACAAGUCAUGAUCGUAGGGUUAUGCAUGCUCAUGGAUUAGUACCCGUGGUUCUAAUUUUUCCAACAGAACACCAAACUGCAAAAGCCAAAGUCUUGAUGAAGCUAGAUGAGAAUCUAUGGUCUACCACAACUAAGCUAAAUCCCACUCUUAACUGUAUCAUAGAAGCAGUUGUACAAAGAAACAUAUACCUUUAUUUGCUUUAUGAGGGAUAUUUAAUGAAUUAGAUUUUCCAACAGUCACAGACAAAACAGAAGUUCAUUUCCUACAUCAAGAUUAAAGCCCCAUAGCGACGAAGAAACUAUUCCAAAACAGAAGCCGUAAUAACACAAUCCAUCAGGCAAUCCAACCACAAUCAUGAAUCCGUACCAGGACAAGUCAUCCAACAAAAUAUGACCAAAUAAAUCAUCCAGGAAAUCAUUAACACAACCAAAAACUGACCAAGUUAAUAAAAGGGUAUCAACUAUCAAGCAUAAAAUCCAAUAACCUUUUAGGCAAAGCAAAACUCACAAAAAGGAUAAGCCGCCUUAUCAACAAUGGAUUCAAGAGUAUCAUAAACCAACUUGCUAUCCACCAAAAACCUCAAGUAACCCUCGACGGAAGGUUCCCAUUUGGGAACAGCCCGCUCCUCCGGCUUCUCAACCUCCUUCUCCCCUUCUUUAGCCUGCUCCCUGGUAUGCAACUUCAUCGCCACAAAUCUCAUCUCCUCCACAAACCCCUUAGCCUCACCUGGGUAGCGCUUUUGGGGUUUCUCCGCAGUGGUGGAGGACACAAUAGCAGCAGCUUUCAAGGGCAUAUUCACAAUUCUCGGAGUUACCGGGACUUGAAACUGAAAAGAAGCUCUUUUGGGUACAAAACCGGAUUGGAUAGCAGUGGAAAGAGAGAGAGAUGGGGAUACUUGGAGGUGGGUUUUGUUAAAUAAAGAUUGAGAUUGAGAGGUUAGAUUAAGAGAAGCCAUUUCGUCAACACAGAGCCAGACAAUAAUUGAACUCAAAAAAAUAAAGUAUAGAAUUAAGUAGGAAAAGAGUAUACGGCACCUUUAAAUUGAAAAGAAAACACAAGAAAAUUCAGCGACAAAGAAAAAGCGUUCAAAGUGUUUUUGGCUUUGGCUUAGAAUCGCUGUUCAAGUAGCCUUGAAGACAAAGCGAGAGCUCAAAAUAAUGGAAACAAAAGAAUAAAUAAUUAUGGGUAAUGGGGUUGCUGUUUCUUGCACCUGUAUCGAAGAAAAUGGGGCUUUUAUAGGUAAUCAAGCUUUCCUUUCGGAUUAGGAUAAGUCUGGCGUUG
Molecule: unclassified non-coding RNA, 1297 nt
Filed under: Hevea brasiliensis (rubber tree)
Lineage: Eukaryota; Viridiplantae; Streptophyta; Magnoliopsida; Malpighiales; Euphorbiaceae
Source: RNAcentral